This 1083-nucleotide long non-coding RNA is filed under the name Heterocephalus glaber (naked mole-rat). RNAcentral describes it as "lncRNA (ENSHGLG00100034031.1)". The record is from RNAcentral. Lineage: Eukaryota; Metazoa; Chordata; Mammalia; Rodentia; Bathyergidae.
CUUUGGACCCAGAGCAGAGGCCGGCGAGCUGCGAACUGGCGGGCUGCGGGUGGCUGCGGACCGCACCGCGGGGAGGCGGAAAGUUUCUCCGCCCGCCUCGUCCUGCGAGCCGGCGUCGCCCGCUGCGGGCCCUGCCCGGCCGAGCAGUUCCGCAAAAAGAGAGGAUCGCACAGCAAAAUACAGUGGAAACAAAACCCCAAGCCAGCCGCGAGGCGCAGGGGGCAGUGGACAUAGGACCGGUGCUUGGGGCAGCCCUGAAUGUCCGUGGAAGUGGACCUGCUGUCAGAGUGGCCUGAGCCAAGCGUGCACGCUGGAGCCCGGAGGAGAAGGAGGAGGAGGAGCACCAGCCAUGCUUCGGAAAGACCUGGACGCCACUGGCAGCCAGCGCGUGCUCAGACUUAGGGGAGGAAGACUUCGGGGCACUGGGCGGAAGGGGGUUCCUGCUUCUUUCUUCCUUCCUCCUGCCGCCUGCCUCCAAGGCAAGGUCUUUCCCAGCUGGAUGGCUCUCUGGAUUGUGUAGCACCUAAGACAGGAAAGAGAGAGAAAGGAAAACAAAUCAAGUGAAACCUCUCCUGUGUGCUCAGCCUGCAGGGGCUUCGGGGCUGGGGGUGGCUGGAGUGGGAAGCUCGGUGCUCGCACAGGCGGGUUGGAGAGUGAUUCUCCACAGGAAACCUGAGAAACGUUUAUUCAGCUAACUGACACUAAACAAGGUGGGGCAGCCCGGGUGGGCCAAGGAGCCAAGCUGGUCCUGUUGGGACACACUUUCCUGCGGGGGACAUAUCCACAUCGGUCCUGCUCUGACCUGAGUUGGUGAGGCAGUCAGGACGGGACCCUAGGGACAGCGUGGCGGUGAGCACCAGGAUCUGCCCGAUACCGCUCUCCCUGAGAAGGGCCUUCGGGAGCGCAGCCUUGGCGGGCAAAUCUGCUUCUACUCUGCGUGACAGAAGAAAGUGGAGUCCGCUAUCUAAGGUGGUGACUGCGGGUUUCUCUUGCCGGAAGACCAUGGUAUUCAGUGUGUAGCAGACCCAGAAUCAGUAGCAGACCUUCCUUCCUCUUUCCCUUCUUUCUCCUCUCACCAUGAUG